This 125-nucleotide small RNA is filed under the name Marmota monax (woodchuck). The record is from RNAcentral. Lineage: Eukaryota; Metazoa; Chordata; Mammalia; Rodentia; Sciuridae.
GCCAGGUGUGGCGGCACAGGCCUGUAAUCCCAGCAGCUCGGGAGGCUGAGACAGGAGGAUCACGAGUUCAAAGUCAGCCUCAGCAAUGGGGAGGCACUAAGCAACUCAGUGAGACCCUGUCUCUA